RNAcentral lists this unclassified non-coding RNA (194 nucleotides) under uncultured Peniophora. RNAcentral's name for it is "sequence contains ITS2". The record is from RNAcentral. Lineage: Eukaryota; Fungi; Basidiomycota; Agaricomycetes; Russulales; Lachnocladiaceae.
ACUCCUCCACUUCACAUCUUUUUCGAAGGAUGUUGAAGCUGGGAUUUGGGAGCUUGCGGGUCCCUGGUCGAUCCGCUCUCCUUGAAUACAUUAGCGAAGCCCUUGCGGCCUUGGUGUGAUAGUCAUCUACGCCUCGGCUUAGCGAACUUAUGGGAGUCGCUUCCAAUCGUCUCGCAAGAGACAACUCACUACCA